This 2741-nucleotide ribosomal RNA is filed under the name Salmonella enterica subsp. enterica serovar Enteritidis. RNAcentral's name for it is "partial 23S ribosomal RNA". It matches the Rfam family "Bacterial large subunit ribosomal RNA". The record is from RNAcentral. Lineage: Bacteria; Pseudomonadati; Pseudomonadota; Gammaproteobacteria; Enterobacterales; Enterobacteriaceae.
GUGCUAAUCUGCGAUAAGCGCCGGUAAGGUGAUAUGAACCGUUAUAACCGGCGAUACCCGAAUGGGGAAACCCAGUGUGAUUCGUCACACUAUCAUUAACUGAAUCCAUAGGUUAAUGAGGCGAACCGGGGGAACUGAAACAUCUAAGUACCCCGAGGAAAAGAAAUCAACCGAGAUUCCCCCAGUAGCGGCGAGCGAACGGGGAGGAGCCCAGAGCCUGAAUCAGCAUGUGUGUUAGUGGAAGCGUCUGGAAAGGCGCGCGAUACAGGGUGACAGCCCCGUACACAAAAGCGCAUGUGCUGUGAGCUCGAUGAGUAGGGCGGGACACGUGGUAUCCUGUCUGAAUAUGGGGGGACCAUCCUCCAAGGCUAAAUACUCCUGACUGACCGAUAGUGAACCAGUACCGUGAGGGAAAGGCGAAAAGAACCCCGGCGAGGGGAGUGAAAAAGAACCUGAAACCGUGUACGUACAAGCAGUGGGAGCACCCUUUGGGUGUGACUGCGUACCUUUUGUAUAAUGGGUCAGCGACUUAUAUUCUGUAGCAAGGUUAACCGAAUAGGGGAGCCGGAGGGAAACCGAGUCUUAAUUGGGCGUUAAGUUGCAGGGUAUAGACCCGAAACCCGGUGAUCUAGCCAUGGGCAGGUUGAAGGUUGGGUAACACUAACUGGAGGACCGAACCGACUAAUGUUGAAAAAUUAGCGGAUGACCUGUGGCUGGGGGUGAAAGGCCAAUCAAACCGGGAGAUAGCUGGUUCUCCCCGAAAGCUAUUUAGGUAGCGCCUCGUGAAUUCAUCUCCGGGGGUAGAGCACUGUUUCGGCUAGGGGGCCAUCCCGGCUUACCAACCCGAUGCAAACUGCGAAUACCGGAGAAUGUUAUCACGGGAGACACACGGCGGGUGCUAACGUCCGUCGUGAAGAGGGAAACAACCCAGACCGCCAGCUAAGGUCCCAAAGUCAUGGUUAAGUGGGAAACGAUGUGGGAAGGCCCAGACAGCCAGGAUGUUGGCUUAGAAGCAGCCAUCAUUUAAAGAAAGCGUAAUAGCUCACUGGUCGAGUCGGCCUGCGCGGAAGAUGUAACGGGGCUAAACCAUGCACCGAAGCUGCGGCAGCGACACUGUGUGUUGUUGGGUAGGGGAGCGUUCUGUAAGCCUGUGAAGGUGUGUCGUGAGGCAUGCUGGAGGUAUCAGAAGUGCGAAUGCUGACAUAAGUAACGAUAAAGCGGGUGAAAAGCCCGCUCGCCGGAAGACCAAGGGUUCCUGUCCAACGUUAAUCGGGGCAGGGUGAGUCGACCCCUAAGGCGAGGCCGAAAGGCGUAGUCGAUGGGAAACGGGUUAAUAUUCCCGUACUUGGUGUUACUGCGAAGGGGGGACGGAGAAGGCUAUGUUGGCCGGGCGACGGUUGUCCCGGUUUAAGCGUGUAGGUGUGUGUUCCAGGUAAAUCCGGUUCACUUUAACACUGAGGCGUGACGACGAGGCACUACGGUGCUGAAGCAACAAAUGCCCUGCUUCCAGGAAAAGCCUCUAAGCAUCAGGUAACAUCAAAUCGUACCCCAAACCGACACAGGUGGUCAGGUAGAGAAUACCAAGGCGCUUGAGAGAACUCGGGUGAAGGAACUAGGCAAAAUGGUGCCGUAACUUCGGGAGAAGGCACGCUGACACGUAGGUGAAGUGAUUUACUCAUGGAGCUGAAGUCAGUCGAAGAUACCAGCUGGCUGCAACUGUUUAUUAAAAACACAGCACUGUGCAAACACGAAAGUGGACGUAUACGGUGUGACGCCUGCCCGGUGCCGGAAGGUUAAUUGAUGGGGUCAGCGCAAGCGAAGCUCCUGAUCGAAGCCCCGGUAAACGGCGGCCGUAACUAUAACGGUCCUAAGGUAGCGAAAUUCCUUGUCGGGUAAGUUCCGACCUGCACGAAUGGCGUAAUGAUGGCCAGGCUGUCUCCACCCGAGACUCAGUGAAAUUGAACUCGCUGUGAAGAUGCAGUGUACCCGCGGCAAGACGGAAAGACCCCGUGAACCUUUACUAUAGCUUGACACUGAACAUUGAGCCUUGAUGUGUAGGAUAGGUGGGAGGCUUUGAAGUGUGGACGCCAGUCUGCAUGGAGCCGACCUUGAAAUACCACCCUUUAAUGUUUGAUGUUCUAACGUGGACCCGUUACCCGGGUUGCGGACAGUGUCUGGUGGGUAGUUUGACUGGGGCGGUCUCCUCCUAAAGAGUAACGGAGGAGCACGAAGGUUGGCUAAUCCUGGUCGGACAUCAGGAGGUUAGUGCAAUGGCAUAAGCCAGCUUGACUGCGAGCGUGACGGCGCGAGCAGGUGCGAAAGCAGGUCAUAGUGAUCCGGUGGUUCUGAAUGGAAGGGCCAUCGCUCAACGGAUAAAAGGUACUCCGGGGAUAACAGGCUGAUACCGCCCAAGAGUUCAUAUCGACGGCGGUGUUUGGCACCUCGAUGUCGGCUCAUCACAUCCUGGGGCUGAAGUAGGUCCCAAGGGUAUGGCUGUUCGCCAUUUAAAGUGGUACGCGAGCUGGGUUUAGAACGUCGUGAGACAGUUCGGUCCCUAUCUGCCGUGGGCGCUGGAGAACUGAGGGGGGCUGCUCCUAGUACGAGAGGACCGGAGUGGACGCAUCACUGGUGUUCGGGUUGUCAUGCCAAUGGCACUGCCCGGUAGCUAAAUGCGGAAGAGAUAAGUGCUGAAAGCAUCUAAGCACGAAACUUGCCCCGAGAUGAGUUCUCCCUGAGACUUA